This 285-nucleotide ribosomal RNA is filed under the name Streptomyces sp. LY9. RNAcentral's name for it is "partial 16S ribosomal RNA". It matches the Rfam family "Bacterial small subunit ribosomal RNA", at positions 1184 to 1462 of the family's 1533-position model. The record is from RNAcentral. Lineage: Bacteria; Bacillati; Actinomycetota; Actinomycetes; Kitasatosporales; Streptomycetaceae.
GUCAAGUCAUCAUGCCCCUUAUGUCUUGGGCUGCACACGUGCUACAAUGGCCGGUACAAUGAGCUGCGAUACCGUGAGGUGGAGCGAAUCUCAAAAAGCCGGUCUCAGUUCGGAUUGGGGUCUGCAACUCGACCCCAUGAAGUCGGAGUCGCUAGUAAUCGCAGAUCAGCAUUGCUGCGGUGAAUACGUUCCCGGGCCUUGUACACACCGCCCGUCACGUCACGAAAGUCGGUAACACCCGAAGCCGGUGGCCCAACCCCCUUGUGGGGAGGGAGCUGUCGAAGG